UUGAAGGUGUGGAGACUGAAGUCCUGUCUAUAUCCACAGAACAGGUAUGGCACAGGCCGCGGCAGUGCAGCUUUUCCACUGUCCCACCAAUGUGCCUCUGUCUGAGUUAGCCUAAGGGGAACAUGGCUAGGGUAAGAGGGCUGUUCAGUCUCCACACCCUUCAAUCUUUGGCUGCU
This is a non-coding RNA of Oryctolagus cuniculus (rabbit), 176 nucleotides long. The record is from Rfam. NCBI's taxonomy places the organism in Eukaryota, Metazoa, Chordata, Mammalia, Lagomorpha, Leporidae.